AAUCUUCAAUAGGAUUAAGCUUAUAUAAUGUCAUAAUAAGGAUGACAAGUUUCUACCCAAGACCGUAAAUCUUGGACUAUAAGUAAAAAAGCUAUUAUA
RNAcentral lists this non-coding RNA (99 nucleotides) under Liquorilactobacillus cacaonum. RNAcentral describes it as "Lactobacillus cacaonum Guanine sequence". It matches the Rfam family "Purine riboswitch aptamer". Rfam says of the family: Riboswitches are metabolite binding domains within certain messenger RNAs that serve as precision sensors for their corresponding targets. Allosteric rearrangement of mRNA structure is mediated by ligand binding, and this results in modulation of gene expression. Lineage: Bacteria; Bacillati; Bacillota; Bacilli; Lactobacillales; Lactobacillaceae. The record is from RNAcentral. RNAcentral also lists the same sequence under 1 other name.